RNAcentral lists this ribosomal RNA (363 nucleotides) under Triticum aestivum (bread wheat). RNAcentral's name for it is "partial small subunit ribosomal RNA". Lineage: Eukaryota; Viridiplantae; Streptophyta; Magnoliopsida; Poales; Poaceae. The record is from RNAcentral.
AUGAAAGGAAAAUCCUGCCGAGGCAAUCGUAUUUGUUUUGGUAGAUAUGCUCUUCAAGCACUUGAACCCGCUUGGAUCACGGCGAGACAGAUAGAAGCAGGACGAAGAGCAAUAACACGAUAUGCACGUCGUGGUGGAAAAAUAUGGGUACGUAUAUUUCCCGACAAACCGGUUACACUAAGACCCACGGAAACACGUAUGGGCUCGGGAAAGGGGUCCCCCGAAUAUUGGGUAUCCGUUGUUAAACCUGGUCGUAUACUUUAUGAAAUGGGGGGAGUAUCUGAAACUGUAGCUAGAGCAGCUAUCUCCAUAGCUGCCAGUAAAAUGCCCAUACGAAGUCAAUUUAUUCGAUUAGAGAUAUAG